UACGAAGGGGGCUAGCGUUGUUCGGAAUUACUGGGCGUAAAGCGCGCGUAGGCGGUGAUCCAUGUCAGAGGUGAAAGCCCGGGGCUCAACUCCGGAAUUGCCUUUGAAACGGGAUCGCUAGAGUCCGAGAGAGGAUGGCGGAAUUCCUAGUGUAGAGGUGAAAUUCGUAGAUAUCGGGAGGAACACCGGUGGCGAAGGCGGCGACCUGGGUAGAUACUGACGCUGAGGUGCGAAAGCGUGGGGAGCAAACAGG
Molecule: ribosomal RNA, 253 nt
Filed under: uncultured bacterium
Lineage: Bacteria
Description: partial 16S ribosomal RNA
Rfam family: Bacterial small subunit ribosomal RNA
Source: RNAcentral